This 364-nucleotide ribosomal RNA is filed under the name uncultured rumen bacterium clone 20. RNAcentral's name for it is "bacterial SSU rRNA". It matches the Rfam family "Bacterial small subunit ribosomal RNA", at positions 19 to 363 of the family's 1533-position model. The record is from RNAcentral.
UUGGCUCAGGAUGAACGCUGGCGGCGUGCCUAACACAUGCAAGUCGAACGAAGCACUUUCAAACGGAGAUUCGUCGAAGUUUGGAUUUGACUUAGUGGCGGACGGGUGAGUAAUGUGUGAGCAACCUGCCUUUCAGAGGGGGACAACAGUUGGAAACGACUGCUAAUACCGCAUAAUGUAUUUGGGUGGCAUCGCCUGGAUACCAAAGGAGCAAUCCGCUGAAAGAUGGGCUCACAUCUGAUUAGCUAGUUGGUGGGGUAACGGCUCACCAAGGCUGCGAUCAGUAGCCGGACUGAGAGGUUGAACGGCCACAUUGGGACUGAGAUACGGCCCAGACUCCUACGGGAGGCAGCAGUGGGGAAUA